This 69-nucleotide transfer RNA is filed under the name Pseudomyrmex dendroicus. Its description in RNAcentral is "tRNA-Leu". Lineage: Eukaryota; Metazoa; Arthropoda; Insecta; Hymenoptera; Formicidae. The record is from RNAcentral.
AUUAUUUUGGCAGAGUAAGUGCAUUAAAUUUAGAAUUUAAUAAUAUAUAAUUUUAUUAUAUAAAUAAUA